This 254-nucleotide ribosomal RNA is filed under the name uncultured bacterium. RNAcentral's name for it is "partial 16S ribosomal RNA". It matches the Rfam family "Bacterial small subunit ribosomal RNA", at positions 524 to 776 of the family's 1533-position model. The record is from RNAcentral.
CACGUAGGGGGCAAGCGUUGUCCGGAUUUAUUGGGCGUAAAGAGCUCGUAGGCGGUUCGGUAAGUUGGGUGUGAAACCUCCAGGCUCAACCUGGAGACGCCACCCGAUACUGCUGUGACUAGAGUCCGGUAGGGGAGCGUGGAAUUCCUGGUGUAGCGGUGAAAUGCGCAGAUAUCAGGAGGAACACCAGCGGCGAAGACGGCGCUCUGGGCCGGAACUGACGCUGAGGAGCGAAAGCGUGGGGAGCGAACAGG